AACCUUUGCCAUGCGCGAAAGCGUGACAGGGGAAUUCCGAGUGGUAGGGGGGUUUACCUCCCUAUCUUUUGGCCAAUCCAAACAAUUGGCAGAAUAAGAUCUGGGUAAGACCAGUGCCAGCCGCCGCGGUAAUACUGGCAGAGCAAGUGGUAUCCACGAAUAUUGGGUCUAAAGAGUCCGUAGCGGGCCUGUUAAGUCCACUGUGAAAUCUGGCGGCUCAACCGUCAGGCGUGCAGUGGAUACUGGCAGGCUUGGGAGUGGGGGAGGUCGGGAGUACUCACGGGGUAACGGUAAAAUGUUGUAAUCCUGUGAGGACUACCAGUGGCGAAGGCGCCCGACCAAAACACGUCCGACCGUGAGGGACGAAGGCUAGGAGAACGAAUCGGAUUAGAUACCCGAGUAGCCCUAGCAGUAAAUUAUGCAGACUGUGGUGUUGCGUCGACUUCGAGUCGGCGCAGUGCUGUAGCGUAGGUGUUAAGUCUGCCACCUGGGGAGUACGGCCGCAAGGUUGAAACUUAAAGGAAUUGGCGGGGGAGCAC
This 539-nucleotide ribosomal RNA is filed under the name uncultured archaeon. RNAcentral's name for it is "bacterial SSU rRNA". It matches the Rfam family "Archaeal small subunit ribosomal RNA", at positions 345 to 879 of the family's 1478-position model. The record is from RNAcentral.